Helianthus annuus (common sunflower) is the source of this 1170-nucleotide long non-coding RNA. RefSeq lists it as uncharacterized. Lineage: Eukaryota; Viridiplantae; Streptophyta; Magnoliopsida; Asterales; Asteraceae. The transcript is spliced from 4 exons. The record is from RefSeq and is a predicted model, not a curated record.
AAAGUUAUUUAAUUAAUUAUAUUUCUAAAAGAGUGGUAGCAGGUUCAGAUGUAAACCUGCUAUUUCAAACAUGGUUUGGAUGCAAACCGCUCGCAAGUCUACAGGUGGAAAAGCUCCCAGAAAGCAACUGGCUUACAAGGUACGUACUGUUGUAACCUUAUUGUUUUUGAUCAAAUGUGUAUCCCACUUAUAUAGUUAAUGAUAUACCACACCUGACAAUGCAUUGAGCGGGUUUUUCAUCCCGUCGCAACGCGCGGCAAAAUGGAUCAAGAACGAAACUAGAUACAUACUUGGGUGGCCGUAAAAAUUUGAAGACUUGGGUGAUCUCCCUGUACAUCAUCCUUAAUAAUUUAAAAAAUGGUUAAUAUUUAUCGGUAUGCUGUAUGGCCCGUAACAGUACCAUGGUGGGACUAACUUUGGCCAUACUAUCGGAGGUCCGUUUAUUGCGACAAGUUAUGAUUACGAUGCUCCACUUGAUGAGUAUGGAGUGCCUCGACAACCGAAGUGGGGCCCCUUAAAAGAUUUACAUAAGGCUAUCAAGCUUUGUGAAGACACGUUGGUAGCAACCGACCCAACAACUACUUCUCUUGGUCAAAAUUUAGAGUGUAGGAUUGUUAAGGGGGCCGUGUCCGCGAGGUCGAACCCGGCUUAAACUUGAAUAUGACACAGACCUGAAAAAACAAUCAAAUUCUGGAAGCCUGGUGCAUCUGGCUGCACCGAAACAAUAAGGUUUUCAAUCGGAAAAACAGUUCGGUCAACAUGGUGGCGGAAGAAAUUAAAGUUAGCACUUUUUGGUGGAUGACAAGAAGGGCCAAAAGAGCUGGCCUCACUUUGGAUAGCUAUUUACAUGAUUGAGCAGGAUGCUUUACCAACAAUUCCAAAAUGUAGAAGCAUUUGCACGUAUCGAAAAAGAGCCAGGGCUUUCAUUUGAUGUGUUCUUUUUGUUAUGAAGAUGCCACUCAUAGUAAAAAAAAUUACUUAUACAGGUUGAUUAUUGCUGGGCUGAUUGAACUUCCAGUAGAUCAUGUGGAAAAGAAACUGUCAUAGAUGAUAUUGGACAACAACAUAGAACACUAGAUCAUGAUAUUGACUUAUAUAUGUUUUUUAUAUCGUUUUAAGGUUUGAAUUAUGCUACUGUCCCUUAUUAUCGACUCCGCAGCAACGCGCGGG